AGCUCUGUAAGCGUAUACCAAAGUUGUUGCAGUUAAAACGCUCGUAGUCGGAACUUGGCGGGCGAUUUGCUUCGUCCUCACGGAGAGUCGGGUAAUGAUUAAGAGGGAUGGUUGGGGGCAUUUGUAUUCCAGCGUCAGAGGUGAAAUUCUUGGAUUGUUGGAAGACAAACAGCUGCGAAAGCGUCUGCCAAGGACAUUUUCA
Molecule: ribosomal RNA, 202 nt
Filed under: uncultured eukaryote
Lineage: Eukaryota
Description: partial small subunit ribosomal RNA
Rfam family: Eukaryotic small subunit ribosomal RNA (bases 91-202)
Source: RNAcentral